This 2882-nucleotide ribosomal RNA is filed under the name human gut metagenome. Its description in RNAcentral is "bacterial LSU rRNA". It matches the Rfam family "Bacterial large subunit ribosomal RNA". The record is from RNAcentral.
GAAAGUAAUAAAGGGCGUAUGGGGGAUGCCUAGGCUCUUGGAGGCGAAGAAAGACGUGGUAAGCUGCGAUAAGCCUCGGGGAUUUGCAAACGAGAAUUGAUCCGAGGAUUUCUGAAUGGGACAACCCGGCAGGCAGAAGGCCUGUCACACGAAAGUGGGCCAACCCUCUGAACUGAAACAUCUUAGUAGGAGGAGGAAAAGAAAGAAACAUCGAUUUCCUAAGUAGCGGCGAGCGAACGGGAAACAGCCUAAACCACAAUUGUUACGGCAACUGUGGGGUUGUAGGACUGCAAUAUUCAAAUGACUGUGAACUGGAAUGUUCUGGAAAGUUCAUCCAAAGAGAGUGAAAGACUCGUACAGGCAAGCACGUCAAGCGAUAGCAGUAUCCUGAGUAGGGCGGGACACGAGGAAUCCUGUCUGAAUCCGCCGGGACCACCCGGUAAGGCUAAAUACUCCCAAGAGACCGAUAGUGAACCAGUACCGUGAGGGAAAGGUGAAAAGAACCCCGAACAGGGGAGUGAAAUAGAACCUGAAACCAUACGCUUACAACCUGUCGGAGCGGCUUCGUGCCGUGACGGCGUGCCUAUUGAAUAAUGAGCCUACGAGUUACUAAUCACUGGCAAGGUUAAGUGCACGGAUGCACGGAGCCGAAGCGAAAGCGAGUCUGAACAGGGCGUUUAGUCAGUGGUUGUAGACGCGAAACCUUGCGAUCUACCCUUGAGCAGGUUGAAGGUUGGGUAAAACCAACUGGAGGACCGAACGAAUAAGCGUUGAAAAGCUUCUCGAUGACUUGAGGGUAGGGGUGAAAGGCUAAUCAAGCUGGGAAAUAGCUCGUACUCCCCGAAAUGCCUUUAGGGGCAGCGUUGUAAUUAAGAGUCUACUGGAGGUAGAGCUACUGAUUGGAUGCGGGGGCUUCACCGCCUACCAAAUCCUGACAAACUCCGAAUGCCAGUAGUAUGAUUUACAGCAGUGAGCGACCGGGUGCUAAUGUCCGGUUACGAGAGUGGAACAACACAGACCAGCAACUAAGGUCCCCAAGAGUAUACUAAGUUGAUCUAACGAUGUUUUGCUGCAGAGACAGCUAGGAUGUUAGCUUGGAAGCAGCUAUUCAUUCAAAGAGUGCGUAACAGCUCACUAGUCGAGCGGCAAAGCGUGGAUAAUAAACGGGCAUCAAGUAUACCACCGAAGUUCUGGGCACGAAAGUGCGGUAGGGGAGCAUUCCAUUCCGCGUUGAAGCCGAACCGUGAGGUUUGGUGGAGUGUAUGGAAAAGCAAAUGUAGGCAUGAGUAACGAUAAUGCGGGAGAGUAACCCGCACACCGCAAGACCAAGGUUUCCUGAUCAACGCUAAUCGGAUCAGGGUUAGUCGGGUCCUAAGGGUAAGCCGAACGGUGAUCUCGAUGGAUAAUCGGUUAAUAUUCCGAUACUGACAUAUACCUCGAUGGAGAGACGAAGGAACGUAAGUGCCGCCACCUGACGGAAUAGGUGGUUAAAGGGCUUAGGUAUAGGGACAGAUUAAGAGUUAGUCCUUGCUGAAACCUGACAGUACAGAGAGCCUACGGGCAAUUUGAUAGUGCACCCAAGUCGACUUCCGAGAAAAUCUUCUAAGUUAUAGUAUAUGUCACCCGUACCGUAAACCGACACAGGUGGUCGAGGAGAGUAUCCUAAGGUGCUCGAGUGAAUCACGGUUAAGGAACUAGGCAAAUUAACCCCGUAACUUCGGGAAAAGGGGUCCCAUCGCGAGGUGGGCGCAGCGAAGAGGUCCAGGCGACUGUUUAUCAAAAACACAGGGCUCUGCAAAUUCGAAAGAAGACGUAUAGGGCCUGACACCUGCCCGGUGCUGGAAGGUUAAGAGGGGAUGUCAUCGCAAGAGAAGCAUUGAAUCGAAGCCCCAGUAAACGGCGGCCGUAACUAUAACGGUCCUAAGGUAGCGAAAUUCCUUGUCGGGUAAGUUCCGACCUGCACGAAUGGUGUAACGAUCUGGACACUGUCUCAACCGUGAGCUCGGUGAAAUUGUAGUCCCGGUGAUGAUGCCGGGUACCCGCAACGGGACGAAAAGACCCCGUGAACCUUUACUAUAGCUUAACGCUGAAUUUGGGUACACAAUGUGUAGGAUAGGCAGGAGACUACGAAGCGGGCACGCCAGUGUUCGUGGAGUCGACGUUGAAAUACUGCCCUUUGUGUACUUGAGUUCUAACCCUCGAGAGGGGACACCGUUUGGUGGGUAGUUUGACUGGGGUGGUCGCCUCCAAAAGAGUAACGGAGGCUUCCCAAGGUACCCUCAGCACGAAUGGUAACCGUGCGUAGAGUGCAAUAGCAUAAGGGUGCUUGACUGUGAGACCAACAAGUCGAUCAGGUGCGAAAGCAGGGUAUAGUGAUCCGGUGGUUCUGCGUGGACUGGCCAUCGCUCAAAGGAUAAAAGGUACUCCGGGGAUAACAGGCUGAUCGCCGCCAAGAGCUCAUAUCGACGCGGCGGUUUGGCACCUCGAUGUCGGCUCGUCACAUCCUGGGGCUGGAGAAGGUCCCAAGGGUUCGGCUGUUCGCCGAUUAAAGUGGCACGCGAGCUGGGUUCAGAACGUCGUGAGACAGUUCGGUCCCUAUCUGUUGCGGGCGUAAGAGAUUUGAAGGGAGCUGUCCUUAGUACGAGAGGACCGGGAUGGACGUACCUCUGGUGCACCAGUUGUCCUGCCAAGGGCAUAGCUGGGUAGCUAUGUACGGACGAGAUAAACGCUGAAAGCAUCUAAGCGUGAAACUCCCCCUAAGAUGAGAUCUCUCAUCCUUCAAGGAGUAAGGACCCAGAAAGACGAUCUGGUUGAUAGGCCGAAGGUGGAAGCGCAGUAAUGUGUGGAGCUGAUCGGUACUAAUAGUCCGAGGGCUUGACCUA